RNAcentral lists this ribosomal RNA (465 nucleotides) under uncultured bacterium. RNAcentral's name for it is "partial 16S ribosomal RNA". It matches the Rfam family "Bacterial small subunit ribosomal RNA", at positions 338 to 795 of the family's 1533-position model. The record is from RNAcentral.
CCUACGGGUGGCAGCAGUGGGGAAUAUUGCGCAAUGGGCGAAAGCCUGACGCAGCGACGCCGCGUGAGGGAUGAAGGUCUUCGGAUUGUAAACCUCUGUCAGCAGGGAAGAACGGUCACUGUGCUAAUCAGCAGUGAAUUGACGGUACCUGCAAAGGAAGCACCGGCUAACUCCGUGCCAGCAGCUGCGGGAAUACGGAGGGUGCGUGCGUUAAUCGGAAUUAUUGGGCGUAAAGAGCUCGUAGGCGGUAUGUCAAGUCAAGGGGUAAAUCCCCGCGCUCAACGUGGGAACUGCCUUUGAAACUGGCAAACUGGAGUGUGUGAGAGGAUAGUGGAAUUCCAGGUGUAGGAGUGAAAUCCGUAGAUAUCUGGAGGAACAUCAGUGGCGAAGGCGACUAACUGGCACAUAACUGACGCUGAGGAGCGAAAGCGAGGGUAGCAAACAGGAUUAGAUACCCUAGUAGUC